GUUUGCCGCGUCUGCUGUGAAAGCCCGGGGCUUAACCCCGGGUGUGCAGUGGGUACGGGCAGACUAGAGUGCAGUAGGGGAGACUGGAAUUCCUGGUGUAGCGGUGAAAUGCGCAGAUAUCAGGAGGAACACCGAUGGCGAAGGCAGGUCUCUGGGCUGUUACUGACGCUGAGGAGCGAAAGCAUGGGGAGCGAACAGGAUUAGAUACCCUGGUAGUCCAUGCCGUAAACGUUGGGCACUAGGUGUGGGGGACAUUCCACGUUUUCCGCGCCGUAGCUAACGCAUUAAGUGCCCCGCCUGGGGAGUACGGCCGCAAGGCUAAAACUCAAAGGAAUUGACGGGGGCCCGCACAAGCGGCGGAGCAUGCGGAUUAAUUCGAUGCAACGCGAAGAACCUUACCAAGGCUUGACAUGGACCGGACCGCUGCAGAGAUGCAGCUUCCCUUCGGGGCUGGUUCACAGGUGGUGCAUGGUUGUCGUCAGCUCGUGUCGUGAGAUGUUGGGUUAAGUCCCGCAACGAGCGCAACCCUUGUCCUAUGUUGCCAGCACGUAAAGGUGGGGACUCAUGGGAGACUGCCGGGGUCAACUCGGAGGAAGGUGGGGAUGACGUCAAAUCAUCAUGGCCCUUAUGGGUAGGGUUACACACGUGCUACAAUGGCCGGUACAGAGGGCUGCGUAACUGCGAAGUUAAGCAAAUCCCAGAAAGCCGGUCUUAGUCCGG
RNAcentral lists this ribosomal RNA (720 nucleotides) under uncultured Nesterenkonia sp. RNAcentral describes it as "bacterial SSU rRNA". It matches the Rfam family "Bacterial small subunit ribosomal RNA", at positions 578 to 1296 of the family's 1533-position model. The record is from RNAcentral. Lineage: Bacteria; Bacillati; Actinomycetota; Actinomycetes; Micrococcales; Micrococcaceae.